This 460-nucleotide ribosomal RNA is filed under the name uncultured bacterium. RNAcentral describes it as "partial 16S ribosomal RNA". It matches the Rfam family "Bacterial small subunit ribosomal RNA", at positions 338 to 795 of the family's 1533-position model. The record is from RNAcentral.
CCUACGGGAGGCAGCAGUGAGGAAUAUUGGUCAAUGGACGAGAGUCUGAACCAGCCAAGUAGCGUGAAGGAUGACUGCCCUAUGGGUUGUAAACUUCUUUUAUAUGGGAAUAAAAUGUUCCACGUGUGGGAUUUUGUAUGUACCAUAUGAAUAAGGAUCGGCUAACUCCGUGCCAGCCGCCGCGGUAAUACGGAGGGUCCGAGCGUUAUCCGGAUUUAUUGGGUUUAAAGGGAGCGUAGGUGGAUUGUUAAGUCAGUUGUGAAAGUUUGCGGCUCAAACGUAAAAUUGCAGUUGAAACUGGCAGUCUUGAGUACAGUAGAGGUGGGCGGAAUUCGUGGUGUAGCGGUGAAAUGCUUAGAUAUCACGAAGAACUCCGAUUGCGAAGGCAGCUCACUGGACUGCAACUGACACUGAGGCUCGAAGGUGUGGGUAUCAAACAGGAUUAGAUACCCUGGUAGUC